CAGCCGCCGCGGGAAUACGUAGGGUGCAAGCGUUAAUCGGAAUUACUGGGCGUAAAGCGUGCGCAGGCGGUUAUAUAAGACAGAUGUGAAAUCCCCGGGCUCAACCUGGGACCUGCAUUUGUGACUGUAUAGCUAGAGUACGGUAGAGGGGGAUGGAAUUCCGCGUGUAGCAGUGAAAUGCGUAGAUAUGCGGAGGAACACCGAUGGCGAAGGCAAUCCCCUGGACCUGUACUGACGCUCAUGCACGAAAGCGUGGGGAGCAAACAGGAUUAGAUACCCCAGUAGUCCCUGUCUCUUAUAC
Molecule: ribosomal RNA, 301 nt
Filed under: uncultured bacterium
Lineage: Bacteria
Description: partial 16S ribosomal RNA
Rfam family: Bacterial small subunit ribosomal RNA
Source: RNAcentral